AACAGGAUUAGAUACCCUGGUAGUCCACGCUGUAAACGAUGUCGACUUGGAGGUUGUGCCCUUGAGGCGUGGCUUCCGGAGCUAACGCGUUAAGUCGACCGCCUGGGGAGUACGGCCGCAAGGUUAAAACUCAAAUGAAUUGACGGGGGCCCGCACAAGCGGUGGAGCAUGUGGUUUAGUUCGAUGCAACGCGAAGAACCUUACCUACUCUUGACAUCCAGAGAAUUUGCUAGAGAUAGCUUAGUGCCUUCGGGAACUCUGAGACAGGUGCUGCAUGGCUGUCGUCAGCUCGUGUUGUGAAAUGUUGGGUUAAGUCCCGCAACGAGCGCAACCCUUAUCCUUUGUUGCCAGCGAGUCAUGUCGGGAACUCAAAGGAGACUGCCGGUGAUAAACCGGAGGAAGGUGGGGAUGACGUCAAGUCAUCAUGGCCCUUACGAGUAGGGCUACACACGUGCUACAAUGACAUAUACAAAGAGAAGCGAACUCGCGAGAGCAAGCGGACCUCAUAAAGUAUGUCGUAGUCCGGAUUGGAGUCUGCAACUCGACUCCAUGAAGUCGGAAUCGCUAGUAAUCGUAGAUCAGAAUGCUACGGUGAAUACGUUCCCGGGCCUUGUACACACCGCCCGUCACACCAUGGGAGUGGGUUGCAAAAGAAGUAGGUAGCUUAACCUUCGGGAGGGCGCUUACCACUUUGUGAUUCAUGACUGGGGUGAAGUCGUAACAAGGUAACC
RNAcentral lists this ribosomal RNA (731 nucleotides) under uncultured bacterium. RNAcentral's name for it is "bacterial SSU rRNA". It matches the Rfam family "Bacterial small subunit ribosomal RNA", at positions 771 to 1501 of the family's 1533-position model. The record is from RNAcentral.